This 928-nucleotide ribosomal RNA is filed under the name uncultured Rubrobacteraceae bacterium. Its description in RNAcentral is "bacterial SSU rRNA". It matches the Rfam family "Bacterial small subunit ribosomal RNA", at positions 56 to 977 of the family's 1533-position model. Lineage: Bacteria; Bacillati; Actinomycetota; Rubrobacteria; Rubrobacterales; Rubrobacteraceae. The record is from RNAcentral.
UGCAAGUCGAGCGAGAACCAGUCCUUCGGGACUGGGGACAGCGGCGAACGGGUGAGUAACACGUGGGUAAUUUACCCUUGGUACUGGGAUAGCCCGGGGAAACCCGGAUUAAUACCGGAUGGCCCAGCAGCUCUUCGGGGCGGCUGGAAAAGGUAGCUUCGGCCUCCGACCAAGGAUGAGCCCGCGGCGGAUUAGCUUGUCGGCGGGGUAACGGCCCACCAAGGCGACGAUCCGUAGCUGGUCUGAGAGGACGAUCAGCCACACUGGGACUGAGACACGGCCCAGACUCCUACGGGAGGCAGCAGUGGGGAAUCUUGCGCAAUGGGCGAAAGCCUGACGCAGCGACGCCGCGUGGGGGAAGGAGGCUUUCGGGUUGUAAACCCCUUUCAGGAAGGACGAAGCUACUCGGGUUAAUAGCCCAGAGGGUGACGGUACUUCCAGAAGAAGCCCCGGCUAACUACGUGCCAGCAGCCGCGGUAAUACGUAGGGGGCAAGCGUUGUCCGGAUUUAUUGGGCGUAAAGAGCGUGUAGGCGGCCAAGCAGGUCCGUUGUGAAAACUCGAGGCUCAACCUCGAGACGCCGAUGGAAACCGUUUGGCUAGAGUCCGGAAGAGGAGAGUGGAAUUCCUGGUGUAGCGGUGAAAUGCGCAGAUAUCAGGAAGAACACCCGUGGCUAAGGCGGCUCUCUAGUACGGUACUGACGCUGAGACGCGAAAGCGUGGGGAGCGAACAGGAUUAGAUACCCUGGUAGUCCACGCCGUAAACGAUGGGUGCUAGGUGUGGGGGGUGUCGACUCCCUCCGUGCCGAAGCUAACGCAUUAAGCGCCCCGCCUGGGGAGUACGGCCGCAAGGCUAAACUCAAAGGAAUUGACGGGGGCCCGCACAAGCAGCGGAGCAUGUGUUAUUCGAUGCAUCGCGAGACGUACUAG